Molecule: unclassified non-coding RNA, 348 nt
Filed under: Hevea brasiliensis (rubber tree)
Lineage: Eukaryota; Viridiplantae; Streptophyta; Magnoliopsida; Malpighiales; Euphorbiaceae
Source: RNAcentral
GGGUGAUAAGCUGCGUGAAUAGCUGCUCCUCCUCGAGCUUCUUCUCACCCUGGGUGAUAAGCUGCGGGAGAGGGAACGGCCAGUGCUUCUGUAAUGUCUCGAGGGUGGAGUAUACGACCGUGAGUCACGGGAGUAGGAUCUAUGUCGAUGCCUGCUGUCAUGUCCGUAGCGGGAUUGCCUGUAAUAAGGAGACCAAGACCUGUCACUCUCAGAGGAGUAGCGGCCGUUUCUGCGAUAUGGAGAGUAGCUUGGAGAACGGCGCCGACCACGGGCAGUUUUCAGACCAAGAUAUCUCCCUGGGGUCGGGGUUCGUCCACGUCGCCUCCUUGCCUUUUCGACAGUUAUGAC